UUGGAGGGCAAGUCUGGUGCCAGCAGCCGCGGUAAUUCCAGCUCCAAUAGCGUAUAUUAAAGUUGCUGCAGUUAAAAAGCUCGUAGUUGAAUUUCGGGACCAAUAUGUCGGUCGUGCCUCGGUACGUACUGGCAUCGUUGGUUUCUCCCUUCUGACGAACCAUGAUGUCAUUCAUUUGGUGUCGUGGGGAAUCAGGACUGUUACUUUGAAAAAAUUAGAGUGUUUAAAGCAGGCUCACGCUUGAAUACAUUAGCAUGGAAUAAUGAAAUAGGACGUUUGAUUCUAUUUUGUUGGUUUCUAGGAUCGACGUAAUGAUUAAUAGGGAUAGUUGGGGGCAUUAGUAUUCAAUUGUCAGAGGUGAAAUUCUUGGAUUUAUUGAAGACUAACUACUGCGAAAGCAUUUGCCAAGGAUGUUUUCAUUAAUCAAGAACGAAAGUUAGGGGAUCGAAGACGAUCAGAUACCGUCGUAGUCUUAACCAUAAACUAUGCCGACUAGGGAUCGGAUGAUGUUAAUUUUUUAAUGACUCAUUUGGCACCUUACGGGAAAC
RNAcentral lists this ribosomal RNA (548 nucleotides) under uncultured Glomus. RNAcentral describes it as "SSU rRNA". It matches the Rfam family "Eukaryotic small subunit ribosomal RNA", at positions 548 to 1098 of the family's 1831-position model. Lineage: Eukaryota; Fungi; Glomeromycota; Glomeromycetes; Glomerales; Glomeraceae. The record is from RNAcentral.